CAGGUGUGGAAACCACCCAUGAAUCGAGCUGACAGCCAUUUCAAGCUUUGACAGUGCCUGUUGAGUCUCAGCAGAACUUUUGUGCUGCCUGUGGAGGAUUUCUGUCCGCUGAGGGCACAGCUGAUGUCACCGGCUCCAGUUCAAGUAGUUGGGAUGCUGAUCAAGCAGCAGUAGCUGCCCUUCACAAAAGAAUAGCUACAUUGCAAGAGUGCUUGAACAACAUGAAGCGGAAAGUUGCUACACUGCAACAACAGAAAAGCAGAGCAAACCGUAGAAACCAUGAACUCACGCGAAACAUCAAGAAGUGCCUGUCACCAGAUCAACUGCAAGGCAUGUGGACUUCCAGUAUGCGAGGGAAGCAAUGGUCUACAGAGACUAUACAGAAAGGCCUCAAGCUCCGUUUGGCAUGUGGAUCCAGAGGCUGCAAUGCGGUCAGGGAGCUUGCUGUACCCCUUCCGAAUGAAAGAAUGUUACAAUGUCGUGUUGAAAACAAGUUCUCACCAGGAAUUCUACAUGAGGUUCUGAAGUCCCUUGCUUUAAAGGUGAAAGGAUGGUGUAGCUGAAUAUAUUUGUUACAUUUAUUCUCGUGAGCAUCUCUUUCAGCAGUACACCUUGAGCAAAAGGUGAAACCUUUUCCAGAGCCUUCCACUAUGGCAUGUCUCAUGAUCGUAUCAUGGUUUUCGCACAGAAACCCUAAUAUUUAUUAAGCUUUCAUGUGUUGCUAGUGCCAGUGUUAGUGGCUGUCACUGCGCUCUUAGUCUUGCACGUUUUAGCGGCCAUUCAUAAAGUUUCCACAACAUAUUCUCACCUUUCCUUCACUUAUGACUUCAGGUCCUCUAACUAGGCACAAUUCCACAUAAAUUUCAAUAGGUGAUAAUCUUCUUGCAUGCAAACAUCGAAAUACAGCUUGCACUGUGCACUGCCUGUUUAUUCUUGAAAAGCAUUGUAUUUUAAAUGUCUUUAUUAAUGCCUUUGUUGCCUAAUGCAUGUUGCAUAUUUCAGAUAACCACCAUGAAGGAGCAUGAGAGGCAUGCAGUUCUGAUGGUCGAUGAAAUUCAGUUGAGCUCAGGGCUUGCGUUUGACCAAACGACUGGCACUGUUAUUGGAAGGCCAACUUUACCUUUGGUCGACGGUUCUCUGCCACAUGCUGCAGUGGCAACGCAUGGACUUGUUUUCAUGCUGGGUGGGGUUACACAAAGAUGGAAGCAGACAGUUGCUUAUCAUCUUACUGGAAACUCGUUCAGCAGUGCUGCAGUUCAAGAACAGUUGAUUGAAAUUAUUCAGAAAUGUGAAACAAUCGGGGUUCGUAUAGAUGCAGUCGUUAGCGACAUGGGUGGUGGGAAUAUGGCGCUCUGGAGAGAAUUUGGCAUAGUUGUGGGAAAGCAUUCUGUGUCAAGAGUUUCUUGUUGUCAUUCUGUUGACCAAAAUCGCAAGCUUUAUUUUAUGGCAGGCACCGCACAUUUGCUAAAGAACUUGAGGAACCACCUCACACGUGGUCAAUCGAUUUUCUUUCCCGAAAAUGUGGUCCAAAAGCACAAGCUGCCUUCGAAUGAGGUUAACCUUGUGCCGAUUCAGAAGCUGCUGGAAAUAGACUUUGAACUGCAAUUAAACAUAGCACUGCACUUGAAACCAUCCUUCUUGGACCCAGGACACUAUGAGAAAAUGAAAGUGGGGCCUGCAUUUUCGUUGCUGAAUCACGAUACUGCAGCUGCACUACGUUUCCUGGUCCAGAGGGGAGAUUUGCCCCAAGAAGCGUUGACAACAGCAUGGUUCAUAGAAACCAUUUAUAGGUGGUUCAAAGUACUGACAUCACGUACAACGAAGCUUGGCAUCAGCAAGUUAAAUGAUCAGAAAUAUGAGGGCUCACUGAUUUUUUUAAAGGGUAUGGUAACUCUUUUUACAGAUCUGAAGAUAGGCUCUCCAUCGAAACACGUGUGGAAGCCUGUGCAGACGGGCAUAAUUUUGGUGUGUAAAGUUGCAUUGGAACUUCAGCAUUAUUAUCUUAAUGAGAAGGGCUUAUUUUUUGUUUUGCUCAGCCGAUUUGCCCUAGAUGCUCUUGAGAAUUUGUUCUCUACUCUGAGGGCGAAGAAUGCAGUAUCAAAAGCUCUUCAAUUUCGUAGUGCUAUUCGAGCUGCUACUUUGGCACAGUUCUUUCGGCCCAGUAGAAGUAGAAGCUAUGCUAUCGACAAUGCUCCUUCCCUAGUUGGCAUCGAAAAUUGCCACCCAAGAGCUCCUAAUAGCAAUGAUACAGAAGCUGUUGAAUAUCCCAGUGAUCUUCUCGACAUAAGCAUGAUGGAGCAUGAGUCUUUUAUUUACCUUGCUGGGUUUGUGGUAAAGAGUGUUGCAAAGCACACAGGGAUUUGUGAGCAGUGCAAAACUGCCACAGUGUCGAACGAAGCUAGUGUUCUCACAAAGUUAAAAUCCUACACUGAUGACAGCAAGCUCGUAUCACCAGGUCCAGCAGUACUUCAUUUGCUCGAAACAGCUGAGAAUAUGUUUAGAGUGAAUAGCAACAAGCUUCUGUGCAAUGAAGUUACGAUUGGUCAACUUGUGGCCACCACUAAUGACAGUGUGCAAGCUGUCAAUUGUUUUCCACCUUGCCACAACAUUCAGGAGAGGUUGCUGAGAGCAUUUUUUAAAACCAGAAUUAACAUUCUUCUGCGGAAAGAGAAUAUGCGUUUGGCAGCUGAUGAAGCUAAAGAUGCAAAAACUGGUAGUCGUAGCAUUGGAAAGCAGGCUGCUACAACCAAUGUAAAAUAGUGUGUAUGCCUCAUUUCUUUCGUGUUUU
Molecule: long non-coding RNA, 2788 nt
Filed under: Rhipicephalus microplus (southern cattle tick)
Lineage: Eukaryota; Metazoa; Arthropoda; Arachnida; Ixodida; Ixodidae
Description: uncharacterized LOC119172303
Source: RNAcentral